This 538-nucleotide ribosomal RNA is filed under the name uncultured bacterium. Its description in RNAcentral is "bacterial SSU rRNA". It matches the Rfam family "Bacterial small subunit ribosomal RNA", at positions 777 to 1315 of the family's 1533-position model. The record is from RNAcentral.
AAUAGAUACCCAGGUAGUCCAUGCCGUAAACGUUGGGAACUAGAUGUGGGGACCAUUCCACGGUCUCCGUGUCGCAGCUAACGCAUUAAGUUCCCCGCCUGGGGAGUACGGCCGCAAGGCUAAAACUCAAAGGAAUUGACGGGGGCCCGCACAAGCGGCGGAGCAUGCGGAUUAAUUCGAUGCAACGCGAAGAACCUUACCAAGGCUUGACAUAUACCGGAAACGUCUGGAAACAGUCGCCCCGCAAGGUCGGUAUACAGGUGGUGCAUGGUUGUCGUCAGCUCGUGUCGUGAGAUGUUGGGUUAAGUCCCGCAACGAGCGCAACCCUCGUUCUAUGUUGCCAGCACGUGAUGGUGGGGACUCAUAGGAGACUGCCGGGGUCAACUCGGAGGAAGGUGGGGAUGAGGUCAAAUCAUCAUGCCCCUUAUGUCUUGGGCUUCACGCAUGCUACAAUGGCCGGUACAAAGGGCAGCAAUACCGUGAGGUGGAGCGAAUCCCAAAAAGCCGGUCUCAGUUCGGAUUGAGGUCUGCAACUCGA